AUUGAACGCUGGCGGCAUGCUUUACACAUGCAAGUCGAACGGUAACAGGGAGCUUGCUCCGCUGACGAGUGGCGAACGGGUGAGUAAUAUAUCGGAACGUGCCCAAGAGUGGGGGAUAACGUAGCGAAAGUUACGCUAAUACCGCAUACGAUCCAAGGAUGAAAGCAGGGGACCUUCGGGCCUUGUGCUCCUGGAGCGGCCAAUAUCUGAUUAGCUAGUUGGUGAGGUAAAGGCUCACCAAGGCGACGAUCAGUAGCUGGUCUGAGAGGACGACCAGCCACACUGGAACUGAGACACGGUCCAGACUCCUACGGGAGGCAGCAGUGGGGAAUUUUGGACAAUGGGGGCAACCCUGAUCCAGCAAUGCCGCGUGAGUGAAGAAGGCCUUCGGGUUGUAAAGCUCUUUUGUCAGGGAAGAAAAGGGUACGGCUAAUAUCCGUGCCUCGUGACGGUACCUGAAGAAUAAGCACCGGCUAACUACGUGCCAGCCGCCGCGGUAA
RNAcentral lists this ribosomal RNA (500 nucleotides) under uncultured bacterium. RNAcentral describes it as "partial 16S ribosomal RNA". It matches the Rfam family "Bacterial small subunit ribosomal RNA", at positions 30 to 523 of the family's 1533-position model. The record is from RNAcentral.